This 1348-nucleotide ribosomal RNA is filed under the name uncultured bacterium. RNAcentral describes it as "16S ribosomal RNA". It matches the Rfam family "Bacterial small subunit ribosomal RNA", at positions 1 to 1367 of the family's 1533-position model. The record is from RNAcentral.
UUCGCCCUUAGAGUUUGUUCCUGGCUCAGGACGAACGCUGGCGGCGCGCCUAACACAUGCAAGUCGAACGAGAGAUGAGGAGCUUGCUCUUCAAAUCGAGUGGCGAACGGGUGAGUAACGCGUGAGGAACCUGCCUCAAAGAGGGGGACAACAGUUGGAAACGACUGCUAAUACCGCAUAAGCCCACGGCUCGGCAUCGAGCAGAGGGAAAAGGAGCAAUCCGCUUUGAGAUGGCCUCGCGUCCGAUUAGCUAGUUGGUGAGGUAACGGCCCACCAAGGCGACGAUCGGUAGCCGGACUGAGAGGUUGAACGGCCACAUUGGGACUGAGACACGGCCCAGACUCCUACGGGAGGCAGCAGUGGGGAAUAUUGCACAAUGGGGGAAACCCUGAUGCAGCGACGCCGCGUGGAGGAAGAAGGUCUUCGGAUUGUAAACUCCUGUUGUUGAGGAAGAUAAUGACGGUACUCAACAAGGAAGUGACGGCUAACUACGUGCCAGCAGCCGCGGUAAAACGUAGGUCACAAGCGUUGUCCGGAAUUACUGGGUGUAAAGGGAGCGCAGGCGGGAGAACAAGUUGGAAGUGAAAUCCAUGGGCUCAACCCAUGAACUGCUUUCAAAACUGUUUUUCUUGAGUAGUGCAGAGGUAGGCGGAAUUCCCGGUGUAGCGGUGGAAUGCGUAGAUAUCGGGAGGAACACCAGUGGCGAAGGCGGCCUACUGGGCACCAACUGACGCUGAGGCUCGAAAGUGUGGGUAGCAAACAGGAUUAGAUACCCUGGUAGUCCACACCGUAAACGAUGAUUACUAGGUGUUGGAGGAUUGGCCCCUUCAGUGCCGCAGCUAACACAAUAAGUAAUCCACCUGGGGAGUACGCCCACAAGGUUGAAACUCAAAGGAAUUGACGGGGGCCCGCACAAGCAGUGGAGUAUGUGGUUUAAUUCGACGCAACGCGAAGAACCUUUACCAAGUCUUGACAUCCCUUGACGAUGCUGGAAACAGUAUUUCUGUUCGGAGCAAGGAGACAGGUGGUGCAUGGUUGUCGUCAGCUCGUGUCGUGAGAUGUUGGGUUAAGUCCCGCAACGAGCGCAACCCUUAUGGUCAGUUACUACGCAAGAGGACUCUGGCCAGACUGCCGUUGACAAAACGGAGGAAGGUGGGGAUGACGUCAAAUCAUCAUGCCCUUUAUGACUUGGGCUACACACGUACUACAAUGGCGUUAAACAAAGAGAAGCAAGACCGCGAGGUGGAGCAAAACUCAGAAACAACGUCCCAGUUCGGACUGCAGGCUGCAACUCGCCUGCACGAAGUCGGAAUUGCUAGUAAUCGUGGAUCAGCAUGCCACGGUGAAU